RNAcentral lists this ribosomal RNA (444 nucleotides) under uncultured bacterium. Its description in RNAcentral is "bacterial SSU rRNA". It matches the Rfam family "Bacterial small subunit ribosomal RNA", at positions 354 to 796 of the family's 1533-position model. The record is from RNAcentral.
GUAGGGAAUAUUGGUCAAUGGAUGGAAGUCUGAACCAGCCAUGCCGCGUGCAGGAAGAAGGCCUUCUGGGUUGUAAACUGCUUUUGCCAGGGGAUAAAAAGACCGUGCGCGGUUAAUUGAAGGUACCUGGUGAAUAAGCCACGGCUAACUACGUGCCAGCAGCCGCGGUAAUACGUAGGUGGCAAGCGUUGUCCGGAUUUAUUGGGUUUAAAGGGUGCGUAGGCGGCCCCGUAAGUCAGUGGUGAAAUAUCUCAGCUUAACUGAGAGGGUGCCAUUGAUACUGCGGGGCUUGAGUACAGAUGAGGUAGGCGGAAUUGACGGUGUAGCGGUGAAAUGCAUAGAUAUCGUCAAGAACACCGAUAGCGAAGGCAGCUUACUAAGCUGUAACUGACGCUGAGGCACGAAAGUGUGGGGAUCAAACAGGAUUAGAAACCCGAGUAGUCC